GAACGGGUGAGUAACACGUGGGCAAUCUGCCCUUCACUCUGGGACAAGCCCUGGAAACGGGGUCUAAUACCGGAUAACACCUGCCCGGGCAUCUGGGUGGGUUAAAAGCUCCGGCGGUGAAGGAUGAGCCCGCGGCCUAUCAGCUUGUUGGUGAGGUAGUGGCUCACCAAGGCGACGACGGGUAGCCGGCCUGAGAGGGCGACCGGCCACACUGGGACUGAGACACGGCCCAGACUCCUACGGGAGGCAGCAGUGGGGAAUAUUGCACAAUGGGCGAAAGCCUGAUGCAGCGACGCCGCGUGAGGGAUGACGGCCUUCGGGUUGUAAACCUCUUUCAGCAGGGAAGAAGCGAAAGUGACGGUACCUGCAGAAGAAGCGCCGGCUAACUACGUGCCAGCAGCCGCGGUAAUACGUAGGGCGCAAGCGUUGUCCGGAAUUAUUGGGCGUAAAGAGCUCGUAGGCGGCUUGUCACGUCGGGUGUGAAAGCCCGGGGCUUAACCCCGGGUCUGCAUUCGAUACGGGCUAGCUAGAGUGUGGUAGGGGAGAUCGGAAUUCCUGGUGUAGCGGUGAAAUGCNCAGAUAUCAGGAGGAACACCGGUGGCGAAGGCGGAUCUCUGGGCCAUUACUGACGCUGAGGAGCGAA
This 643-nucleotide ribosomal RNA is filed under the name Streptomyces sp. 5114_4. RNAcentral describes it as "bacterial SSU rRNA". It matches the Rfam family "Bacterial small subunit ribosomal RNA", at positions 100 to 757 of the family's 1533-position model. The record is from RNAcentral. Lineage: Bacteria; Bacillati; Actinomycetota; Actinomycetes; Kitasatosporales; Streptomycetaceae.